RNAcentral lists this long non-coding RNA (1487 nucleotides) under Numida meleagris (helmeted guineafowl). RNAcentral describes it as "lncRNA (ENSNMEG00000011568.1)". The record is from RNAcentral. Lineage: Eukaryota; Metazoa; Chordata; Aves; Galliformes; Numididae.
UUAGAUAUAGCGUUGAGAGACCUGGUUUAGUGGGGUUAUGUUGGUGGUAGGUGGAUGGUUGGACUAGGUGAUCUUGUAGGUCUUUUCCAACCUAGAUAAUUCUAUGAUUCUAUGAUUCUAUGUUCCUUCUGUUUGUUUCUGAUAGUUCCACAUGUCUACGGGCUGCCAUGUCUCUUGACUUACAUUAUUUUCACAGUUAGUUUUCAUUGAGGUAAUGGAAAAUAUGUGUGCACAUAAGCCCUUUCAGUGAUAGUUGUAAAUUAUGACUCAAGCUCUCCACAACACCUGUCUGUACGUCUGUGGCUAAUCUGUCUCUGGUUUUAGAUGUAGCUCCUUAAACUGACAUGUUAUAUAGUGCCAGAAGAACUUACCUACAUCCGGAGCUGUACACAGAGGAUACGCAAUUAGGAUGACCUGCAAACAAGUGCAUCUGUCACUCUUCAUAGUGCUGCUUCAUUAACUCAUUUCAAGUAACAGCCUUGAUCAUUGCCCCUGAUUUAUGGUCUCCUUUUGUGAUAUUAGUAGGCUUCACACGAAAGGAGAAACUGGGAAACAUAUUGCAGAGAAUAUGUCUGUCUAACUAUCCAUUUACAAUGCACCAGGGAACUAUGUAUCUGAUAGCUUCAAAAGAAGACCAGGAGUCAGAAGUUUCACUUCCUGACAGAUGACUAUUCAAUCACUGGGAUAAAAUUUGCUAAUUUUGGAUGAAAUCUAUGACAACGUGUUUGUUGACCAUGGCAUGAAUUACAAAUACAUUCCAAUUGUUCUAGAUUUACUGGGAGAAUUUUCUAAAAUGACAAAUGGCUGAGAAAACUAGAAAUCAACACAUGUUAUGUCUUUGUGCAGACAAUAUGGCAUGGAAGCAAAGUCAGUUGCAUAUAAAAAUAGUUUAGAAUGAAAGCAGAAACCUUGCUGCUCUCAUGUUCUUUCGUCUUUUUUCUUAACAGGAAUGAUUAAUCAGUAUAUAAACACCACUCUGAUAUAUUCUGAAGUAUUCACUUGGAAAUUACAUUAUAAGAGCAAUGGAGAAAAAGGUGAGGUUGCUGAAGUUAAGCCUAGAGAGGGAACUGUUCUGGUUUCUCAUUGAGAAUAUUUCCAGGUAAGUACAAUUCUACUUAAAAAUUAUAUCAAUUACUACUUAAGCACAAUCCAUUGCAAAAAAAAAAUCCUCAAUGUGAAUAUUUCAACUGAGUUGGAGAAGGGGAAGGAAAGAAAGAUGAGGCAUCAGUCUUCAGGCAUAGCAUAUGAAUUGUUUACCAUAUUCUAUUAAAAUGUCUACUUCAACUGUGGGCUGCUAGUCCUCCAAGGACUCUGCAAUUAGACACUGCAAGAGUCGUUCCGCUAAUGCAUUGAAAGUUGUCGUAAAAACAAUAAUGAAUUUAUCCCUGACUUUGAUUGUUAAACAUGAGAUGAAUCACCCUUGACCACAAUCUUUCUUGAAGCAACUUAAUUUUAACAUAUCUUGUUGAAAACAAGUUCAGAUCCAC